This 90-nucleotide small RNA is filed under the name Flavobacterium haoranii. RNAcentral describes it as "Flavobacterium sp. LQY-7 Flavo-1 RNA". It matches the Rfam family "Flavo-1 RNA". The record is from Rfam by way of RNAcentral. Lineage: Bacteria; Pseudomonadati; Bacteroidota; Flavobacteriia; Flavobacteriales; Flavobacteriaceae.
AUUUCGCAUUAGCGGUAGAAGUGAUAUCCUUUUUUGUUUUCGACUUUACUCAAAUAAACAAAAAAGAUAAAACGAAUAACGCGACCGAAU